RNAcentral lists this transfer RNA (75 nucleotides) under Thermosporothrix sp. COM3. RNAcentral describes it as "tRNA-Gln". It matches the Rfam family "tRNA". From Rfam's summary of the family: Transfer RNA (tRNA) molecules are approximately 80 nucleotides in length. Their secondary structure includes four short double-helical elements and three loops (D, anti-codon, and T loops). The record is from RNAcentral. Lineage: Bacteria; Bacillati; Chloroflexota; Ktedonobacteria; Ktedonobacterales; Thermosporotrichaceae.
GGGGGUGAGGCGUAACGGUAGCGCAGCUCUUGGCUCUGGAGCAGGAUGCCGGGUUCGACUCCCGGUCGCCUCCAC